ACCAUGACCUUACACGGAUGAGAUAUGGGGUCACUUGAUUGGAUAUCACACUUCUCCUCCACUAGCCGUACUUCUUUUGAAAUCACAGGAAUUAACUUUGUAACCAUGACACCUGAUCUUUACCGAGAACGCCGAUUGAGUAGGAAAAAAAAUUACAUAAAUUUUGCACAUUAAGAGUCAUGAUUGGAGUAAGGGACGACUUCUUGGCGACC
Long non-coding RNA from Hylaeus volcanicus, 212 nucleotides. RefSeq lists it as uncharacterized. The transcript is spliced from 2 exons. The record is from RefSeq and is a predicted model, not a curated record. NCBI's taxonomy places the organism in Eukaryota, Metazoa, Arthropoda, Insecta, Hymenoptera, Colletidae.